RNAcentral lists this ribosomal RNA (774 nucleotides) under uncultured Neocallimastigales. RNAcentral describes it as "partial large subunit ribosomal RNA". It matches the Rfam family "Eukaryotic large subunit ribosomal RNA", at positions 24 to 645 of the family's 3401-position model. Lineage: Eukaryota; Fungi; Neocallimastigomycota; Neocallimastigomycetes; Neocallimastigales. The record is from RNAcentral.
UAUCUCUGUAGAGUCUGCAUAUCAAUAAGCGGAGGAAAAGAAACUAACUAGGAUUCCCUUAGUAACGGCGAGUGAAGCGGGAAGAGCUCAAAUUUGAAAUCUUCAAGGUUUACCUUGACGAAUUGUAGUUUAAAGAAGUGUUUUCUGUUGGAUGUUCUGGUAAAAGUUCUUUGGAAUAGGACAUCAUAGAGGGUGAGAAUCCCGUAUUUGACCAUUACUUCCAGCUUUGUGAUACACUUUCAAAGAGUCGGAUUGUUUGGGAAUGCAGUCCAAAAUGGGUGGUAAAUUUCAUCUAAAGCUAAAUAUUGGCGAGAGACCGAUAGCGAACAAGUACCGUGAGGGAAAGAUGAAAAGAACUUUGAAAAGAGAGUUAAACAGUACGUGAAAUUGUCAAAAGGGAAGCGUUUGACACCAGUGUUGUUUUCUCGAAAAUCAAUUAAAAAAAGUUGGAUUUUGUAUUGUUAAGACCUUAUCAGCUUACUGCACUCUUUUCUUGCUUUUUUUAAUGCACUUUUCGUUUAACAAGUCAACAUCAAUUUCUUUUGUUGUAAAAGAGUCAUUGGAAGGUGGCUUUCACUUCGGUGAAAGUGUUUAUAACCUUUGGCUUCUGCAAUCGGAGAGAUUGAGGUCUGCAGCGUAGAUCCUUCGGGGCUAGAUACGUAGAUGCUAAGUUAUAGUUUUUUAUAGACAACUUGUUGACUAUAAUUAAUCAUGUAGCUUACUCGUUUGCGCUAUUUUACCUACGCUUAGGAUGUUGAAGUCAUCGUAUCGCGC